This 31-nucleotide non-coding RNA is filed under the name Mus musculus (house mouse). Lineage: Eukaryota; Metazoa; Chordata; Mammalia; Rodentia; Muridae. The record is from RNAcentral.
UCUAAGCAACCAGCUAAGAACACUCUUUGUC